GAAUGAACGCUGGCGGCGCGCCUAAUACAUGCAAGUCGAGCGAGAAGACGUAGCAAUACGUUUGUAAAGCGGCGAACGGGUGAGGAAUACAUGGGUAACCUACCCUAGAGUGGGGAAUAACUAGCCGAAAGGUUAGCUAAUACCGCGUACGCUCCUUGGACUUCGGUUCAGGGAGGAAAGCGAUGCCGAGGGUAUCGCGCUCUUGGAUGGGCUCAUGUCCUAUCAGCUUGUGGUGAGGUAACGGCUCACCAAGGCUUCGACGGGUAGCUGGUCUGAGAGGACGAUCAGCCACACUGGCACUGCGACACGGGCCAGACUCCUACGGGAGGCAGCAGUAAGGAAUAUUGCGCAAGUGGGCGAAAGCCUGACGCAGCGACGCCGCGUGGGGGA
RNAcentral lists this ribosomal RNA (390 nucleotides) under uncultured bacterium. RNAcentral's name for it is "bacterial SSU rRNA". It matches the Rfam family "Bacterial small subunit ribosomal RNA", at positions 27 to 408 of the family's 1533-position model. The record is from RNAcentral.